RNAcentral lists this ribosomal RNA (465 nucleotides) under uncultured bacterium. RNAcentral's name for it is "partial 16S ribosomal RNA". It matches the Rfam family "Bacterial small subunit ribosomal RNA", at positions 28 to 507 of the family's 1533-position model. The record is from RNAcentral.
GACGAACGCUGGCGGCGUGCUUAACACAUGCAAGUCGUACGGUAAGGCCCUUUCGGGGGUACACGAGUGGCGAACGGGUGAGUAACACGUGAGUAACCUGCCCACAACUUUGGGAUAACGCUAGGAAACUGGUGCUAAUACUGGAUAUGUGCUCCUGCUGCAUGGUGGGGGUUGGAAAGCUCCGGCGGUUGUGGAUGGACUCGCGGCCUAUCAGCUUGUUGGUGGGGUAGUGGCCUACCAAGGCGGCGACGGGUAGCCGGCCUGAGAGGGUGACCGGCCACAUUGGGACUGAGAUACGGCCCAGACUCCUACGGGAGGCAGCAGUGGGGAAUAUUGCACAAUGGGCGCAAGCCUGAUGCAGCAACGCCGCGGGCGGGAUGACGGCCUUCGGGUUGUAAACCGCUUUUAGCAGGGACGAAGCUUUUUGUGACGGUACCUGCAGAAGAAGCACCGGCUAACUACGUG